CACCAGCCUUGUAUCUUACAGUUCAGUUCUUAUGUACUUGGUGUAAAAGAUUUUAAGCAAUUAUAACUUGUAGAAGUUAUACUGAUUAAUUGUUUUGGCAACACAGCAUAUUGUCCAGUGCACAUGGUUAAAGAUGCGCUACCUUCAAAUAUUUUCUGUUCUUCUUUUUAGUGUUGGAAAGUUCACGAUUGGCAAAUUUCAAGCUGUAGUAAAUGCACAACCUCAAAAACAAUUAAGAAAGCAAUUUGUUGGAACAUGAAGAAAGCAGAAAGCAAUUUGUUGGAACAUGAAGAAAUCAAUUUGUUGGAACAUGAAGAUUGAAGAACCCAGAAAGCAAUUUGUUGGAACAUGAAGACCUUCAAAUGUGUUUUCUGUUUGAUUAAAGGCCUUAAUGAAAAAAAAACUGCUUCCUGUUAUCAUCUAGGUCAUUACAUUGGAUGGCAUUUGUGCAUGUAGGACAGUUGCAGAUCUUAAUAGAUUUAUGGAUCUAAACUCAAAUUUAUGGAACUAAAUUAUAUGGAUUUAUGGAACUAAAAUCAAAUUAAAUAUGGAUUGAUAAUAUGGAUAAAAAAUAUGGAUUUAUGGAACUAAAAUCAAAUCAAAUCAAAGUGUUGUUUACAUUUUUGGGGUUGUACAACUUGUACAUAGUGGAAUACACUAGAUGUUAAAGUUUCAUUUACUUGGUUCCCUUUGUAAAAACAACACUACAACUUACAUGCACCAACAUCCGGUUUGUUGCAAGUUGAAACCAAUUUUAUUGCCUGAUAUAUUUUACUCUGCCAACAAGUCUUAAUAACAACUUACAUGCACCAACAUCCGAUUUGUUGCAAGUUGAAACCAAUUUUAUUGCCUGAUAUAUUUUACUCUGCCAACAAGUCUUAAUAACAACUUACAUGCACCAACAUCCGAUUUGUUGCAAGUUGAAACCAGUUUUAUUGCCUGAUAUAUUUUACUCUGCCAACAAGUCUUAAUAACUAAGGGGCUAUUUACAUGAGCCCGACUAGUCCUGUUAACUGAGGCACCCAGCUUAAUUCAAAUCAUUUAACAAGAAUCUGCCUAGCCGAGAUCUCACUCGAGUCAAAGAGGAUGCCCGGAUAACCGGGCUGAAAUUUCUCCAUGUAAAGUCACCAGCUUAGGUAACCUCCUGGCUAGCCAGGCCUUCAGCCUGGUUAACUGGGCCAGCCUGCAUGGCUAGCCGGGCUCAUGUAAACAGCCCCUAAGGUGAUAGCAACAAUAAUGUAUUUGGUGCUAAAUGUAACAUAAACUUGAGUAACAGAGAAAAUUCUCAUAUUCAGAUUAUUUUCCCCUCAUUGUAGAGUAAACUGUUAAUACUGUAUGUAUCUUAAAAACUAGAGUGUAUAUUAGAAUCUGACAGAUUUAUAAUUUAAACUGUCGUUAAGAUAAAUCAGGUCUUUUAUUGUCUGUUUUGUAAAUGAAGUUCCCUGAUUCAUCCAAGCAUUGAUCUUUAAACUAUUUUUCCAAUAUCAAUGAACGACAUGAUAAUGUCAUAGGAGGCCUUGUCACUUGUGAUACCAAAUUUGUAAAGUCACAGCCAAAGGAUUUCAAUAGGUUCAAGUCAAUAUAUUAUCUCUAAAAUUCAUUUUUGAAGAAGAAGUAGGUCCAGCAAUUUCUUUCAUAUCGCAAUAUUAUUUUAUAUUAAACGAUUGUAGGCCAAUAUGCCAAGUUGAAUUACACUGUUUGAAUAGUUAGUUCACUUAGUUGAUCACAGAUUCACAGAAGGUUCGAUGAACUCGAUUUAUUUCCUUCAUUGUUCAUGGCAUUCACGUCCUUAAUCUUUUUGUACACCAUGAAAUAUCACCAACUUAUCACUCAAAACAUAUUUUACGGCGAUCAGACUAACCACACAUAAGCUAUAUAACUUUAUAUGUUUAUCACUAUUCGCCAAAGACCGAGGUGAAAUUAAUCGAUGUAUGACAAUGGCCAAAUUCCACGCUUAAAUUCGUUUCUUAUCCUCAUAGUAACAAUUAAAUUAAAGAACAACCUCUUCUUUAUGAUAUUUCAAAGUAUCAUGAGUUUUGCUUGGAUACAUAAAAAGCUAGAGCACUUUUAGUGGCUCUAUUUCGCAUUCCGCCAUAUUAACUCCUAUAAAAUUUCCUCUGGUUUGGUUGCUUUCAAC
Paramuricea clavata is the source of this 2137-nucleotide non-coding RNA. Lineage: Eukaryota; Metazoa; Cnidaria; Anthozoa; Malacalcyonacea; Plexauridae. The record is from the annotation of a GenBank genome assembly.